UGGAAGUAAAAAGUCGUAACAAGGUCUCCGUUGGUGAACCAGCGGAGGGAUCAUUACUGAGUUUACGCUCUAUAACCCUUUGUGAACAUACCUAUAACUGUUGCUUCGGCGGGUAGGGUCUCCGCGACCCUCCCGGCCUCCCGCCUCCGGGCGGGUCGGCGCCCGCCGGAGGAUAACCAAACUCUGAUUUAACGACGUUUCUUCUGAGUGGUACAAGCAAAUAAUCAAAACUUUUAACAACGGAUCUCUUGGUUCUGGCAUCGAUGAAGAACGCAGCGAAAUGCGAUAAGUAAUGUGAAUUGCAGAAUUCAGUGAAUCAUCGAAUCUUUGAACGCACAUUGCGCCCGCCAGCAUUCUGGCGGGCAUGCCUGUUCGAGCGUCAUUUCAACCCUCAAGCUCUGCUUGGUGUUGGGGCCCUACAGCUGAUGUAGGCCCUCAAAGGUAGUGGCGGACCCUCCCGGAGCCUCCUUUGCGUAGUAACUUUACGUCUCGCACUGGGAUCCGGAGGGACUCUUGCCGUAAAACCCCCCAAUUUUCCAAAGGUUGACCUCGGAUCAGGUAGGAAUACCCGCUGAACUUAAGCAUAUCAAUAAGCCGGAGGAA
RNAcentral lists this ribosomal RNA (603 nucleotides) under Colletotrichum gloeosporioides. Its description in RNAcentral is "eukaryotic LSU rRNA". The stretch from base 229 to 382 matches the Rfam family "5.8S ribosomal RNA". The record is from RNAcentral. Lineage: Eukaryota; Fungi; Ascomycota; Sordariomycetes; Glomerellales; Glomerellaceae.